CACCCAGGAAAUCUUAUUCCCUUUAUUCUCUUCAACUAAGCAACAUGACCACCAGUGACACAACACUGUUUUGGACACACAACACUCAAAAAUGGGGCCUCUCUUCACUCCAUGGGGACAAGUCCGGUGACUGGGGCUUCCCUAGUGAGGGCAAAGGAGUCUGGGAGCUGCUGACCUCAGGGCAGGUCAUGGAACCCCACCUCUUGGCUGUGAUGGCUUCAAGUUUCCCCACCAUUCAGGAUUCAUGCCCAGUUCCAAGUUCCCAUCUGACCUCCAUGUCCAUAGCAGUUUCAAGUUUCACUCUAAGCUCUCCCCUCUGCUUUCCCCACUGACUCCCUGACCCUAUCUGUUGGGCUCCUCCCUCCACCAGGGCGUUUCUGAGGGGCCUGGGGCCUGCAUGUGAUUGGACAAGAGGGUUUGGCUGCACAGUGCCUUCCAGACUCAGUUGUGGUGAGCAAAUGCUUUGACCCCUGGGCCUUCAUCUGAGCCGAUCUGAGCAACUCUAGCCACUGCCACCUCCCUGCUUCAAUCCUCCCAAGACGUAGCUCACUCUGGGAGGGAAGCUCCUGGUUAAAGGAGCUUGGGGAGGUGGGCAAGAGAGAACACGCCACACCCCAGAGGUAUCGAACCCUGCCCCUUUCCUACCGCAAGACGCCUGACCCUACGAACUGUGCGCUCACAUCAUCCAUCCCGUACAAGAGCCAAGCCCCUUAGCCCUCACCCAUCCCUACAACAUGUGAGCAUCCUACUAAAUAUGCUACACCCUAGUCCGAAACAGGCCUGCGCCGGCCUUCAGUCACACUGCCUGCCUCCCCCCAGACUGGCCUCUGAGCCCCAAAAGCUGCUCCCCAGGCCUCUUCUGGGAACAGAUUCCUUAGGCCUGUUUUUGAGAGCAUCUGCUUCUGGCUUUGCGAGAGGUUUGUCUUUACAACUUCAGUUUCUGCUACCAUCUUGGGGAGGGGGACAUCUCCUUAGACUUGGCAGACUUCUCAUUCUUACAGGGCACCCCCUUCGUUGGCGUUCUGUUAGGAAGAGACCCACAGGCAGCACCCCCCUCAGUAGUGCUUCCCUUCCUGGCACUUGGAUAGGCUGGGGCGUUAUGCAGAUGGCAACAUGGUUCUCCGCACAAUCCUGAGGCCUGCCUUCUCCCUCUCCCCAGCAGGCCUGGCGUUUUCCUCCCACAAUGUUUGAGAUUUUGAUCCUUUUAAAUGUGAGGGUCAUCCUGCUGGGGCCAGGAUAGACAAAUGGCGAAGGAUUUGCAUAAAGGUUGUGUGAAACUUUAGGUCAUGGAAUUAGAGGUCUCUUCCACAGCUUUGCAAAAAUCUGGGUCACCCCUCUCUUGAGACGUGACUCCUGACGGGCCCCACAGCUGGCAUCUCAGUCCUCUUACUCCAGGACAGCGCAUUACUGGGGUUGGCAAGCACUUCCUUUCUGACCCAGCGCUGAGCAGAGUCCUCUCCUUUUGAAGGGGUCUCCAGGAUUAGGGAGUGGGAGUCUUGUUACAGAUGUUUCAUUCAAGAGUUUUCUGUCUUCCACCAUCUCAUAGGGCAACAGUCUCUCCCCAGCCACAUAUGCCCAGGCCUGUGAGCAGGCUUGGCUGUUUAUGAAUGUGUAACUGUGUGGUGUGGGAGGUGAGAUGGGCCUGGCAAGGGAGGCUUUCUCAUCCUUCUGUUUCCUUCUGAAGGUUUCUGGCUAAGGAGGAGA
RNAcentral lists this long non-coding RNA (1704 nucleotides) under Homo sapiens (human). RNAcentral's name for it is "non-protein coding lnc-RNF40-1:1". The record is from RNAcentral. Lineage: Eukaryota; Metazoa; Chordata; Mammalia; Primates; Hominidae.